GAUGAACGUUGGCGGUGUGCCUAAUACAUGCAAGUCGAACGGUGACGAUUUUGUAGUAAUACGAAUGAAAUCAUAGUGGCGAACGGGUGAGUAACGCGUUGGUGAUCUGCCUCGAAGUGUGGAAUAACGCUCCGAAAGGAGCGCUAAUACCGCAUGUGCUCUCAUUGUUUAGAAAUUUGAGAGGAAAGGAUUUAUUCGCUUCGAGAGGAGCCUGCGUCCCAUCAGCUAGUUGGUAGGGUAACGGCCUACCAAGGCAAUGACGGGUAGGGGACCUGAGAGGGUGGCCCCCCACAAUGGAACUGAAACACGGUCCAUACACCUACGGGUGGCAGCAGUAGGGAAUAUUAGAAAUGGACGAAAGUCUGAUCUAGCGACACCGCGUGUGCGAAGAAGGCCUUCGGGUUGUUAAAGCACUUUUGGUAAGGAAUAGGAAGGAAGGUACUUCCAGAAUAAGUACUCGGCUAACUACGUGGCAGCAGCCGCGGUAAAACGUAGACGUG
RNAcentral lists this ribosomal RNA (500 nucleotides) under uncultured bacterium. RNAcentral's name for it is "bacterial SSU rRNA". It matches the Rfam family "Bacterial small subunit ribosomal RNA", at positions 28 to 534 of the family's 1533-position model. The record is from RNAcentral.